RNAcentral lists this ribosomal RNA (253 nucleotides) under uncultured bacterium. RNAcentral describes it as "partial 16S ribosomal RNA". It matches the Rfam family "Bacterial small subunit ribosomal RNA", at positions 524 to 776 of the family's 1533-position model. The record is from RNAcentral.
UACGUAGGUGGCAAGCGUCGUCCGGAAUUAUUGGGCGUAAAGAGCGUGUAGGCGGUCCGGUAAGUCGGCUGUGAAAGUCCAGGGCUCAACCCUGGGAUGCCGGUCGAUACUGUCGGACUAGAGUUCGGAAGAGGCGAGUGGAAUUCCCGGUGUAGCGGUGAAAUGCGCAGAUAUCGGGAGGAACACCAAUGGCGAAGGCAGCUCGCUGGGACGUUACUGACGCUGAGACGCGAAAGCGUGGGGAGCAAACAGG